UGCACGGACUUGUUUAGGCAGUCACCAGGAGUCAAUACUGACUCGAAGGCACUGAAAAAAAAAAUCAUCACCUUAACCAGGGCAUAUGAGGAAAGGAUCUGGAUAUGUUUAGCUUACAAAAGAAAUGUCUGAAGUGAGGUAUGAUAGCAGUCUUUGAAUAUCUGAAGGGUUGUUGCACAGAAGAGAGAGUGGACCUUUUCUCUGUUGCCCCAGAGGGCAAGACUGGAACCAGUCCCAGAGACAUCACCAGGCUAGACAUCAGGAGGAGCUCCCUAACUAUAUGAAUUAUCAGCCAGAGGAACAGCUGCCAAGUGAAGUCCUGAGGGAAGUCCUUCACUAGAGGCCUUCAAACAGAGGCCGGGUGAGCAUCUGUCAGAUAUGCUCAGUGGAUUCUGCACUAAGAUCCCAUCCACCUCUAUGAUUCAGUGAUCAAUUGAUGACCAAUGAAGCUAUAAUUCAAUUCUUAGUCACACAGUGAACCUUUACAGGGGCUUCACAAAUUGUAGUUCUGGAGUCCUCAAAGGUUACUAAACUUCUACUGGUUAAUAAGCUGUGGGCUCAUCUUCACAUCCCCUUAUCCACCACAUGAAGACGCCCUUGUAAACCAUUUUUAUAUGACUUGUUCUCAUGGUGUUACCUUCGCCUCAUCCCUAGGCAGCUGAGGCAGCUAAAGUCAUGUAUAGCUAUUCCAGUUUUAAAAUUCCCUCUUCUCCCAACACCAUGGACAUGUAGGAUGUUUCAUUGGCAAUGUGACUCUUGUGGCAGUCAAGGGUAGGAUCUAACCCAGCUCCUAUUGGCUAAUUUAGGCUGCUGCAGGCAGGGCCACUUCUCUGAAGCCUUCCUACCAGGAGAUGACUCCCAGUGGGAUGGAGAAUAAAACUGGGGAAGUCCAUCAAUGGCUUACUUAACUUCUUAAUUAAAACUGUAACUCACCAGCUUGGUUAUUGAGGUAAGAUAAGACUCAGGAAAUUUUCUUCCAGCACAUUUUCCUGCCAGCUCAAGUAUUGGUGGACUGUACUGUACUCUGUUCUAUCUGAUUUAGUGGCUCAUAGACUGGACAGACUCAGGUCCUUUUAAAUCUGUAGAACGAUUUCUCAGGAAAAGAUCUGGGAUCACUUCCUUCCAGUCCUCUUAUAAAAUUAGAAAUAAGGGUGGUUUCAAACUGGACUAGACCAGCUCCUCUGGGUUACCCAGCCAGGAAGUGGUCAAAAGACCAGCAUCCCUCUGUAAUCAAGGGUUUCUUCUCUGGUACAAGCACUCUGGGCAGGACACCACCAGUGAUUUUAGUUGUGGUUUAUCUGAUGUGGCUACCUGUCUGCUAGAAACUCAACAUGAGAACAUGAUGUCCUACUCUUAGGAAAUCCUUAGAAAAUGCUUAAGGACCAAGCUCUACUACAUGGGGGGAAAGCACUGGUUGGAUCUUCUCACCGUUUUUGUUGUAAUACAAUGCAGAUGUCUGGGCUCCCAAUGUGGUUGGAGUAGUGCCAUGAAAGGAGAGGUUGUUUAAUCCUUUCCUUUGCAGUAUUCCCCCUAUCCACCCCCGUGAUCAUAUGCUUCAUGGGCACCGAUUCCAACCACAUGGGCUGUUAUUCCACAAACACAAUGAGAAGUAUGUGUUUGAGCCAUUAGGACUGGUAGAUGUUUUUCCCAUGAGGUGAGCAGAAGAGGGCUUGGAAAGGGCCAUCUUCUGCUGGAGCUCCCCCCAAGAAAUAAGAUCAGCAUCCUCAUUGUUAAUAUUUGGAAGAUUAGCGAAGACCUGGCAUGAAGGAGAUCCAUACCUAGGAUGUCUGCGGGUGCUGCCACAGAUGUUGAUGUUAUGGUGAGUUUAUAGUGAUGAUGUUUAAUGUGAUAUGUAUUGUAUAAAUUAUUGGAGGCUGCUUUUAUCUGCUUCUUAUAGAACAAGACUGACAUUUAUCUCUCCCUUCCCUUCCCUUCCCAGCUCUCUAGCUGUCUAAUCUAUUGCACAAUGCCAGAAAAGGAGUAACUGGACUGCCUUAAAAUGUAGCCCAUUCUUUUCCUGACUGAAAUAUGGAUUUUUUAAAAAGUGCCCAGUGAAACUGAUGAUGGGAAAGUGUUCACUGAAAAGCUUUAGCACGCAUUUCACCGGGACCCAGGCUGAGCAAUUAUGGCUUUUCAAAGAAGAAAAGAAAUAUUCCAGAAUUUAUUGGAUCCAAGGGAGCUGGAGAUUCCCCUUCCCAUCUUGCAGGACAAAAGAAAUGAAUAUUUUACAGUACUUCCUUUCUAAAUGCAGAAAGAUAGUCUGAGAAAUAACUGGAAGCCAAAGGACACGAUGUAUACUAAGACCGUGCAAUUAUUUUAAAUACUGCAGAAAAAAUAGAGAAAUUACGAUUUCUGAAUUUGGCGCAUGCUGUUCUGUUAAUGGGUUCCAUGAAUAAUUGGAUAUUCUCAAUGCAGAGACCAAAGAAUAAUGAUAGCCACGAUAUGAAUUGCGCAUGGCAACAUUAUCUGUAACCCAGAAGCAUCUAAGGGCACUUCCAACCUGACCAUUCCAGAAUCAGCCCUGCAGUUCUGUGAUCUUGCACCAUCUCAGUGUUUAUCAGCUGAGCUGAUUUAUUUCUGCCGGAGCUGUAACAUAUUUAGUACUGUUAAAACACCCUUAAAAAAAAAAAAUAAAUAAAC
Molecule: non-coding RNA, 2640 nt
Organism: Python bivittatus (Burmese python)
Lineage: Eukaryota; Metazoa; Chordata; Lepidosauria; Squamata; Pythonidae
Source: RefSeq, a predicted model, not a curated record